UUAAAGGAAUUGACGGGGGCCCGCACAAGCGGUGGAGCAUGUGGUUUAAUUCGAUGCAACGCGAAGAACCUUACCUGGGCUUGACAUCCCGGGAAUCCCCUGGAAACAGGGGAGUGCCCUUCGGGGAACCCGGUGACAGGUGCUGCAUGGCUGUCGUCAGCUCGUGUCGUGAGAUGUUGGGUUAAGUCCCGCAACGAGCGCAACCCUUGUCUUUAAUUGCCAUCAUUCAGUUGGGCACUUUAGAGAGACUGCCGGUGACAAGCCGGAGGAAGGUGGGGAUGACGUCAAGUCCUCAUGGCCCUUAUAGGUGGGGCUACACACGUCAUACAAUGGCUGGUACAAAGGGUUGCCAACCCGCGAGGGGGAGCUAAUCCCAUAAAGCCAGUCGUAGUCCGGAUCGUAGUCUGCAACUCGACUACGUGAAGUCGGAAUCGCUAGUAAUCGUGGAUCAGAAUGUCACGGUGAAUACGUUCCCGGGUCUU
This 482-nucleotide ribosomal RNA is filed under the name uncultured Anaerolineaceae bacterium. RNAcentral's name for it is "bacterial SSU rRNA". It matches the Rfam family "Bacterial small subunit ribosomal RNA", at positions 901 to 1382 of the family's 1533-position model. Lineage: Bacteria; Bacillati; Chloroflexota; Anaerolineae; Anaerolineales; Anaerolineaceae. The record is from RNAcentral.